This 426-nucleotide ribosomal RNA is filed under the name uncultured bacterium. Its description in RNAcentral is "bacterial SSU rRNA". It matches the Rfam family "Bacterial small subunit ribosomal RNA", at positions 355 to 792 of the family's 1533-position model. The record is from RNAcentral.
UGGGGAAUCUUGCACAAUGGGCGAAAGCCUGAUGCAGCGACGCCGCGUGCGGGACGAAGGCCUUCGGGUUGUAAACCGCUUUCAGCAGGGACGAGGCCGCAAGGUGACGGUACCUGCAGAAGAAGCCCCGGCUAACUACGUGCCAGCAGCCGCGGUAAUACGUAGGGGGCGAGCGUUAUCCGGAUUCAUUGGGCGUAAAGCGCGCGUAGGCGGCCAGUUAGGUCGGGAGUUAAAUCCGGGGGCUCAACCCCCGCCCGCUCCCGAUACCGGCUGGCUUGAGUCUGGUAGGGGAAGGCGGAAUUCCAAGUGUAGCGGUGGAAUGCGCAGAUAUUUGGAAGAACACCGGUGGCGAAGGCGGCCUUCUGGGCCACGACUGACGCUGAGGCACGAAAGCUAGGGGAGCGAACAGGAUUAGAUACCCUGGUA